GACGAACGCUGGCGGCGUGCCUAAUGCAUGCAAGUCGCACGGGCGGCCUUCGGGUCGUCAGUGGCGCACGGCUGAGGAACACGUGGGUAUCUGCCCGUCCGUGGGGGACAACGUGCCGAAAGGCACGCUAAUCCCGCAUACGCUCUGCGGAGGAAAGUCGCUUCGGCGGCGCGGACGGAGGAGCCUGCGGCCCAUCAGGUGGUUGGCGGGGUAACGGCCCACCAAGCCGAUGACGGGUCGCUGGUCUGGGAGGAUGACCAGCCAGACUGGGACUGAGACACGGCCCAGACUCCUACGGGAGGCAGCAGCAAGGAAUUUUCGGCAAUGGGCGCAAGCCUGACCGAGCAACGCCGCGUGGUGGAUGACGGCCUUCGGGUUGUAAACACCUUUGGGGGGGGAUGACACCCGACCGUACCCCCCGAACAAGCCCCGGCUAACUCUGUG
This 444-nucleotide ribosomal RNA is filed under the name uncultured organism. RNAcentral describes it as "bacterial SSU rRNA". It matches the Rfam family "Bacterial small subunit ribosomal RNA", at positions 28 to 507 of the family's 1533-position model. The record is from RNAcentral.